RNAcentral lists this ribosomal RNA (454 nucleotides) under uncultured Rikenella sp. RNAcentral describes it as "bacterial SSU rRNA". It matches the Rfam family "Bacterial small subunit ribosomal RNA", at positions 341 to 792 of the family's 1533-position model. The record is from RNAcentral. Lineage: Bacteria; Pseudomonadati; Bacteroidota; Bacteroidia; Bacteroidales; Rikenellaceae.
ACGGGAGGCAGCAGUGAGGAAUAUUGGUCAAUGGGCGGAAGCCUGAACCAGCCAUGCCGCGUGCAGGAAGACGGCCCUAUGGGUUGUAAACUGCUUUUGUAGUGGAGCAAUAAGGUGUACGUGUACACCGAUGAGAGUACAUUACGAAUAAGCAUCGGCUAACUCCGUGCCAGCAGCCGCGGUAAUACGGAGGAUGCGAGCGUUAUCCGGAUUUAUUGGGUUUAAAGGGUGCGUAGGCUGUUUGUCAAGUCAGAGGUGAAAGCCCGGGGCUUAACUCCGGAACUGCCUUUGAUACUGGCAGGCUUGAAUACUGUUGCCGUGGGAGGAAUGAGUAGUGUAGCGGUGAAAUGCAUAGAUAUUACUCAGAACACCGAUUGCGAAGGCAUCUCACGAAGCAGCGAUUGACGCUGAGGCACGAAAGCGUGGGGAUCAAACAGGAUUAGAUACCCUGGUA